This is a small nuclear RNA of Homo sapiens (human), 104 nucleotides long. NCBI's taxonomy places the organism in Eukaryota, Metazoa, Chordata, Mammalia, Primates, Hominidae. The record is from Ensembl.
AUGCUCCCUGCUGCAGUACAUAUACUAAAAUUGGAAUAACACAAAGAUUAGCAUGGCCCCUGUGCAAGGAUGACAUGCAAAUUCAUGAAGUGUUUCAUAUUAAA